CAGUCGUACGCUUCUUUUUCCCCGGAGCUUGCUCCACCGGAAAAAGAAGAGUGGCGAACGGGUGAGUAACACGUGGGUAACCUGCCCAUCAGAAGGGGAUAACACUUGGAAACAGGUGCUAAUACCGUAUAACAAUCGAAACCGCAUGGUUUUGAUUUGAAAGGCGCUUUCGGGUGUCGCUGAUGGAUGGACCCGCGGUGCAUUAGCUAGUUGGUGAGGUAACGGCUCACCAAGGCCACGAUGCAUAGCCGACCUGAGAGGGUGAUCGGCCACAUUGGGACUGAGACACGGCCCAAACUCCUACGGGAGGCAGCAGUAGGGAAUCUUCGGCAAUGGACGAAAGUCUGACCGAGCAACGCCGCGUGAGUGAAGAAGGUUUUCGGAUCGUAAAACUCUGUUGUUAGAGAAGAACAAGGAUGAGAGUAACUGUUCAUCCCUUGACGGUAUCUAACCAGAAAGCCACGGCUAACUACGUGCCAGCAGCCGCGGUAAUACGUAGGUGGCAAGCGUUGUCCGGAUUUAUUGGGCGUAAAGCGAGCGCAGGCGGUUUCUUAAGUCUGAUGUGAAAGCCCCCGGCUCAACCGGGGAGGGUCAUUGGAAACUGGGAGACUUGAGUGCAGAAGAGGAGAGUGGAAUUCCAUGUGUAGCGGUGAAAUGCGUAGAUAUAUGGAGGAACACCAGUGGCGAAGGCGGCUCUCUGGUCUGUAACUGACGCUGAGGCUCGAAAGCGUGGGGAGCAAACAGGAUUAGAUACCCUGGUAGUCCACGCCGUAAACGAUGAGUGCUAAGUGUUGGAGGGUUUCCGCCCUUCAGUGCUGCAGCUAACGCAUUAAGCACUCCGCCUGGGGAGUACGACCGCAAGGUUGAAACUCAAAGGAAUUGACGGGGGCCCGCACAAGCGGUGGAGCAUGUGGUUUAAUUCGAAGCAACGCGAAGAACCUUACCAGGUCUUGACAUCCUUUGACCACUCUAGAGAUAGAGCUUCCCCUUCGGGGGCAAAGUGACAGGUGGUGCAUGGUUGUCGUCAGCUCGUGUCGUGAGAUGUUGGGUUAAGUCCCGCAACGAGCGCAACCCUUAUUGUUAGUUGCCAUCAUUCAGUUGGGCACUCUAGCAAGACUGCCGGUGACAAACCGGAGGAAGGUGGGGAUGACGUCAAAUCAUCAUGCCCCUUAUGACCUGGGCUACACACGUGCUACAAUGGGAAGUACAACGAGUCGCGAAGUCGCGAGGCUAAGCUAAUCUCUUAAAGCUUCUCUCAGUUCGGAUUGUAGGCUGCAACUCGCCUACAUGAAGCCGGAAUCGCUAGUAAUCGCGGAUCAGCACGCCGCGGUGAAUACGUUCCCGGGCCUUGUACACACCGCCCGUCACACCACGAGAGUUUGUAACACCCGAAGUCGGUGAGGUAACCUUUGAGC
This 1415-nucleotide ribosomal RNA is filed under the name Enterococcus sp. RNAcentral describes it as "bacterial SSU rRNA". It matches the Rfam family "Bacterial small subunit ribosomal RNA". The record is from RNAcentral. Lineage: Bacteria; Bacillati; Bacillota; Bacilli; Lactobacillales; Enterococcaceae.